GGGAGAGCAGACGCUGUGAAUCUCCUCCCCCCUUGAGAACAGUGCCUCUCACAAAGGGCCCUUGGGACAGAUAUCAAGUCUGAUGGCGGUGGCAGCCGGCGGGCAGGGAGCUUCUCACUGGGCAGAUGAGGGAGCUGAGGCUCAGAGAGCAUCAGGCACGUGCCCGGAGUCACUCAGGGAGUGAAUGCGGGAACCUGGCUGGACGCUGAAGUUAGGGGGCAUCUUUCCCACCAGGCGGCGCUGCUCUAGGGAGAUGGUGACAGGCACCUCUGAGGCCACAGAGAACUUCCGGGACCUUUCCUGCCACUGAUCAAGGCACCAUCGGCCACCCUCUGAAGGAGGUACCAGUGCUACUGCGCCACAGAGAGGGGCAGCCCGAGGCGCUAACCCCACACCCCAUCAGGGCCUCUGCUUGCUCUGCUGCUCUGAACUUUUGCUUCAGGGACAGCGAGGAGGCACCUGAGGGGCCCCCUCAGUCUCACGCUGCCUGGGUCUCCCUCCCCCAGCUGGGGGUGGGGCUAGGUUCCCAGCGUCCCCCUCCCCCUCUGGAGAGCCCCCUGAGGCACCCUUUGUUAUUGCCUUCUGGGAGGUCACUGGCUGACCCUCUGCCCCCCUGGAGCCAAGGGCAGAGGGAUGGGACAGAGAUACCUCUGUUUUGAAAGAGGGCAUAGGUCAGGGCAUGGGACAGAUGGGGGAGGGGGCGCAGAACCCCUGAGGGGCAGUGAAACGCCCAGCAUGCCAAGGGAGGUAUGCCAAGGACAUGUGUCAAGGACGGGAGGAGGGGGUGCUGGGCGGAGGUGGACAUGUUACUUCACUGACAUCUUUUCUGUGGAGGGGUGGUUUACAGUGGCCUCCGGGGGCAUAUGUUCUCCUCUGUCCCCCGGCAGUGUCCCAAACCUGUGUUAGCCUCUUGACCAUACGUAUGUUGUGUAAUCUCUCUAACCCUCGGGGUUGCCUCUCUAUGAACUAGGAAUAACAAUAACACCUUUUUGAUGGA
Sus scrofa (pig) is the source of this 997-nucleotide long non-coding RNA. RefSeq lists it as uncharacterized. NCBI's taxonomy places the organism in Eukaryota, Metazoa, Chordata, Mammalia, Artiodactyla, Suidae. The record is from RefSeq and is a predicted model, not a curated record.